This 408-nucleotide ribosomal RNA is filed under the name uncultured bacterium. RNAcentral's name for it is "bacterial SSU rRNA". It matches the Rfam family "Bacterial small subunit ribosomal RNA", at positions 355 to 776 of the family's 1533-position model. The record is from RNAcentral.
UAGGGGAUAUUGCACAAUGGGGGGAACCCUGAUGCAGCGACGCCGCGUGAAGGAAGAAGUAUUUCGGUAUGUAAACUUCUGUCAGCAGGGAAGAAAGAAAAUGACGGUACCUGGAAAAGAAGCCCCGGCUAACUACGUGCCAGCAGCCGCGGUAAUACGUAGGGGGCAAGCGUUAUCCGGAUUUACUGGGUAUAAAGGGAGCGCAGGCGGCGCGCCAAGUCUGGUGUGAAAGCCCGGGGCCCAACCCCGGAACUGCAUUGGAAACUGGCGUGCUGGAGUACCGGAGGGGCAGGCGGAAUUCCUAGUGUAGCGGUGAAAUGCGUAGAUAUUAGGAGGAACACCAGUGGCGGAGGCGGCCUGCUGGACGUGUACUGACGCUGAGGCUCGAAAGCGUGGGGAGCAAACAGG